GGGGCUGUAGCUCAGCCGGUUAGAGCAUCUGCCUCUUAAGCAGAGUGUCGAGGGUUCGAGUCCCUCCAGCCCCUCCA
RNAcentral lists this transfer RNA (77 nucleotides) under Candidatus Saccharimonadota bacterium. Its description in RNAcentral is "tRNA-Lys". It matches the Rfam family "tRNA". Rfam says of the family: Transfer RNA (tRNA) molecules are approximately 80 nucleotides in length. The record is from RNAcentral. Lineage: Bacteria; Candidatus Saccharimonadota.